This 578-nucleotide ribosomal RNA is filed under the name uncultured bacterium. Its description in RNAcentral is "partial 16S ribosomal RNA". It matches the Rfam family "Bacterial small subunit ribosomal RNA", at positions 355 to 932 of the family's 1533-position model. The record is from RNAcentral.
UGGGGAAUUUUGGACAAUGGGCGAAAGCCUGAUCCAGCAAUGCCGCGUGUGUGAAGAAGGCCUUCGGGUUGUAAAGCACUUUUGUCCGGAAAGAAAUCCUUGGCUCUAAUACAGUCGGGGGAUGACGGUACCGGAAGAAUAAGCACCGGCUAACUACGUGCCAGCAGCCGCGGUAAUACGUAGGGUGCAAGCGUUAAUCGGAAUUACUGGGCGUAAAGCGUGCGCAGGCGGUUUGCUAAGACCGAUGUGAAAUCCCCGGGCUCAACCUGGGAACUGCAUUGGUGACUGGCAGGCUAGAGUAUGGCAGAGGGGGGUAGAAUUCCACGUGUAGCAGUGAAAUGCGUAGAGAUGUGGAGGAAUACCGAUGGCGAAGGCAGCCCCCUGGGCCAAUACUGACGCUCAUGCACGAAAGCGUGGGGAGCAAACAGGAUUAGAUACCCUGGUAGUCCACGCCCUAAACGAUGUCAACUAGUUGUUGGGGAUUCAUUUCCUUAGUAACGUAGCUAACGCGUGAAGUUGACCGCCUGGGGAGUACGGUCGCAAGAUUAAAACUAAAUGAAUUGACGGGGUCAUAGCUG